This is a long non-coding RNA of Felis catus (domestic cat), 459 nucleotides long. RefSeq lists it as uncharacterized. The record is from RefSeq and is a predicted model, not a curated record. NCBI's taxonomy places the organism in Eukaryota, Metazoa, Chordata, Mammalia, Carnivora, Felidae. The transcript is spliced from 3 exons.
AGCAAUGACACCAACCUUCUUGCUUAAAAACUUACAUGGAUGAUAGUACUGUUCACUUAUUUGGGGAACAUAGAAAAAGUGCAUGAAGGGGAAAGCUGGCACCAGGAUCUCCUUUGGAAAAAAAAAAAUAUGUAUAAGGCAUUUGCCUGAAAAUUGAGGGUAUUCUGCAAGAUUCUACUAGAUCUUCAGAAGGUGAACAUUGUCAAGGCAGAUCAGUGUAGACACCCUGAACUAGAGGGGGAUCAUGUACUCCCCUAGUAAUGAUGUGGAUUAUGGCAGCUGAGUACAGAUGCAGCUUCAAAUCCUUCCCAACACAGCAUUUCAGGAGGCCCCGACGGAUCCAUCGGAGUUGACACACAAGAUAAAUUCUACUGGCCAUCCCUGAAGAUCUGCUAUCAAGUGACAUUGUGACUUCAGGCAAGCAUCUCUUCUGUGUCUCAUUUUUUUUUUUUUUAGAGA